RNAcentral lists this ribosomal RNA (422 nucleotides) under uncultured bacterium. RNAcentral's name for it is "bacterial SSU rRNA". It matches the Rfam family "Bacterial small subunit ribosomal RNA", at positions 355 to 774 of the family's 1533-position model. The record is from RNAcentral.
UGAGGAAUAUUGGGCAAUGCCCGCAAGGGUAACCCAGCAACGCCGCGUGGAGGAUGAAUGUCGUAAGAUUGUAGACUCCUGUUAGAGGGGAAGAAUAGUACCGGUUGAACCGGUAUAUGACUGUACCCUCAGAGAAAGCCCCGGCUAACUACGUGCCAGCAGCCGCGGUAAUACGUAGGGGGCAAGCGUUGUCCGGAUUUACUGGGUGUAAAGGGCGCGCAGGCGGGAUAAAAAGUCAGUGGUGAAAUCCUACAGCUUAACUGUAGAACUGCCUUUGAUACUUUUAUUCUUGAGUUCGGGAGAGAGAGACGGAAUUCCAGGUGUAGUGGUGAAAUACGUAGAUAUCUGGAAGAACACCAGUUGCGAAGGCGGUCUCUUGGUCCGACACUGACGCUGAGGCGCGAAAGCGUGGGGAGCAAACA